RNAcentral lists this ribosomal RNA (253 nucleotides) under uncultured bacterium. RNAcentral's name for it is "partial 16S ribosomal RNA". It matches the Rfam family "Bacterial small subunit ribosomal RNA", at positions 524 to 776 of the family's 1533-position model. The record is from RNAcentral.
GACGUAGGAUGCAAGCGUUGUCCGGAUUUAUUGGGCGUAAAGAGUUCGUAGGUGGUUUGUUAAGUCUGAUGUAAAAGACUGGGGCUCAACCUCGGGACUGCAUUGGAUACUGGCAGACUUGAGUGCGGUAGAGGCAAGUGGAAUUCCAGGUGUAGCGGUGAAAUGCGUAGAUAUCUGGAAGAACACCGGUGGCGAAAGCGACUUGCCGGGCCGUAACUGACACUGAGGAACGAAAGCUAGGGGAGCGAAUGGG